Molecule: ribosomal RNA, 339 nt
Filed under: uncultured bacterium
Lineage: Bacteria
Description: bacterial SSU rRNA
Rfam family: Bacterial small subunit ribosomal RNA
Source: RNAcentral
AGCAGUAGUGGAAUCUUCGGCAAUGGGGGAAACCCUGACCGAGCAACGCCGCGUGAGUGAAGAAGGAUUUCGGUCUGUAAAGCUCUGUUGUAAGGGAAGAAUGGUACUGAAGAAUCAGUAAGUGACGGUACCUUACCAGAAAGCCACGGCUAACUACGUGCCAGCAGCCGCGGUAAUACGUAGGUGGCGAGCGUUAUCCGGAAUUAUUGGGCGUAAAGGGUGCGCAGGCGGUUUGAAUAGUCCAAGGUAAAAGCGUGGAGCUUAACUCCAUUUGGCCUUGGAAACUGUCAGACUAGAGUGCAAGAGAGGGUAGUGGAAUUCCAUGUGUAGCGGUGAAAU